Molecule: ribosomal RNA, 117 nt
Filed under: Opisthocomus hoazin
Lineage: Eukaryota; Metazoa; Chordata; Aves; Opisthocomiformes; Opisthocomidae
Source: RNAcentral
GCAUAUGGCCUUACCACUGUGAACGCACCGGGUCUGCUCUGAUUUCUGAUGUUAACAGGUUGGGCCUGGCUGGUACUUGGAUGGGAAACCACUUGGGAGUACCAGGUGCUGUAGCCU